AGAUGUGAGGGCAAUCUGGCUUCGACAUCUGUCACCCCAUUGAUAACUAGGGUUGAUUCGGCUGAUCUGGCUGGCUAGGGGGGUGUCCCCUUCUUCCUCACUACUCCAUGUGCUUCCCUCCCAAAACUGUGUACUUGGUCAAAGAGGAAGGAGGUGGGAAGGGAAGAACAGGAGGGGGGAGGAGAACAAGAGAACUGAGACAGGAGAGGAAUAGAGGAGGGCAAGAAAGGAGAUGCCUUGAUAGAGGGAGACAGUACAGGUAU
Molecule: small nuclear RNA, 263 nt
Filed under: Cricetulus griseus (Chinese hamster)
Lineage: Eukaryota; Metazoa; Chordata; Mammalia; Rodentia; Cricetidae
Description: 7SK RNA
Rfam family: 7SK RNA
About the family: 7SK was discovered as an abundant small nuclear RNA in the mid-70s but a possible function has only recently been suggested. Two independent studies have found that 7SK RNA binds the CDK9/cyclin T complex (known as elongation factor P-TEFb). P-TEFb activates transcription by phosphorylating the C-terminal domain of RNA polymerase II.
Source: Rfam by way of RNAcentral